AUUGAACGCUGGCGGCAGGCCUAACACAUGCAAGUCGAGCGAGCGGCGGACGGGUGAGUAAUGUAUGGGGACUGCCCGAUAGAGGGGGAUAACUACUGGAAACGGUGGCUAAUACCGCAUACUAUCGGAUAACCCAUAUGGGAUUAGCUAGUAGGUGGGGUAAAGGCUCACCUAGGCGACGAUCUCUAGCUGGUCGGAGAGGAUGAACAGCCACACUGGAACUGAGAGAGGGCCCAUACUCCACCGGAGGCAGCAGUGGGGAAUAUUGCAAAAUUGGAACAAGCCUGAUGCAGCCAUGCCGCGUGUAUGAAGAAGGCCUUUGGGUUGUAAAGUACUUUCAGCGGGAAGGCGUUACCCGCAGAAGAAGCACCGGCUAACUCAGUGCCAGCAGCCGCGGUAAUUC
RNAcentral lists this ribosomal RNA (403 nucleotides) under uncultured bacterium. RNAcentral's name for it is "partial 16S ribosomal RNA". It matches the Rfam family "Bacterial small subunit ribosomal RNA", at positions 30 to 526 of the family's 1533-position model. The record is from RNAcentral.